GGGCGCUGAAGGUUGGUACUUGUACCGACUGGAUGAGCAGCGAACGGGUGAGUAACGCGUGGGGAAUCUGCCUUUGAGCGGGGGACAACAUUUGGAAACGAAUGCUAAUACCGCAUAAAAACUUUAAACACAAGUUUUAAGUUUGAAAGAUGCAAUUGCAUCACUCAAAGAUGAUCCCGCGUUGUAUUAGCUAGUUGGUGAGGUAAAAGCUCACCAAGGCGAUGAUACAUAGCCGACCUGAGAGGGUGAUCGGCCACAUUGGGACUGAGACACGGCCCAAACUCCUACGGGAGGUAGCAGUAGGGAAUCUUCGGCAAUGGACGAAAGUCUGACCGAGCAACGCCGCGUGAGUGAAGAAGGUUUUCGGAUCGUAAAACUCUGUUGGUAGAGAAGAACGUUGGUGAGAGUGGAAAGCUCAUCAAGUGACGGUAACUACCCAGAAAGGGACGGCUAACUACGUGCCAGCAGCCGCGGUAAUACGUAGGUCCCGAGCGUUGUCCGGAUUUAUUGGGCGUAAAGCGAGCGCAGGUGGUUUAUUAAGUCUGGUGUAAAAGGCAGUGGCUCAACCAUUGUAUGCAUUGGAAACUGGUAGACUUGAGUGCAGGAGAGGAGAGUGGAAUUCCAUGUGUAGCGGUGAAAUGCGUAGAUAUAUGGAGGAACACCGGUGGCGAAAGCGGCUCUCU
Molecule: ribosomal RNA, 683 nt
Filed under: uncultured bacterium
Lineage: Bacteria
Description: bacterial SSU rRNA
Rfam family: Bacterial small subunit ribosomal RNA
Source: RNAcentral